CUUACACAUGCAGUCGAACGGAAACAGAAAGUAGCUUGCUACUUUGCUGUCGAGUGGCGGACGGGUGAGUAAUGCUUGGGAAUAUGCCAAAACGUGGGGGACAACAGUUGGAAACGACUGCUAAUACCGCAUAAUGUCUUCGGACCAAAGCAGGGGACCUUCGGGCCUUGCGCGUUUUGAUUAGCCCAAGUGGGAUUAGCUAGUUGGUAAGGUAAUGGCUUACCAAGGCGACGAUCCCUAGCUGGUCUUAGAGGAUGACCAGCCACACUGGAACUGAGACACGGUCCAGACUCCUACGGGAGGCAGCAGUGGGGAAUAUUGCACAAUGGGGGAAACCCUGAUGCAGCCAUGCCGCGUGUGUGAAGAAGGCUUUCGGGUUGUAAAGCACUUUCAGUGGGGAGGAAAGGGUGUACGUUAAUAGCGUGCAUCUGUGACGUUACCCACAGAAGAAGCACCGGCUAACUCCGUGCCAGCAGCCGCGGUAAUACGGAGGGUGCGAGCGUUAAUCGGAAUUACUGGGCGUAAAGCGCGCGUAGGUGGUUAAUUAAGUCAGAUGUGAAAGCCCAGGGCUCAACCUUGGAACUGCAUUUGAAACUGGUUAACUAGAGUUUUGUAGAGGGUGGUAGAAUUUCAGGUGUAGCGGUGAAAUGCGUAGAGAUCUGAAGGAAUACCAGUGGCGAAGGCGGCCACCUGGACAAAGACUGACACUGAGGCGCGAAGGCGUGGGGAGCAAACGGGAUUAGAUACCCCGGUAGUCCACGCAGUAAACGAUGUCUAUUAGAAGUUUGUGGCUAUAUGCCGUGGGUUUCAAAGCUAACGCAUUAAAUAGACCGCCUGGGGAGUACGGCCGCAAGGUUAAAACUCAAAUGAAUUGACGGGGGCCCGCACAAGCGGUGGAGCAUGUGGUUUAAUUCGAUGCAACGCGAAGAACCUUACCAUCU
This 941-nucleotide ribosomal RNA is filed under the name Psychromonas marina. RNAcentral describes it as "bacterial SSU rRNA". It matches the Rfam family "Bacterial small subunit ribosomal RNA", at positions 48 to 979 of the family's 1533-position model. Lineage: Bacteria; Pseudomonadati; Pseudomonadota; Gammaproteobacteria; Alteromonadales; Psychromonadaceae. The record is from RNAcentral.